GAUGAACGCUGGCGGCGUGCCUAAUACAUGCAAGUCGAGCGAACGGACGAGAAGCUUGCUUCUCUGAUGUUAGCGGCGGACGGGUGAGUAACACGUGGAUAACCUACCUAUAAGACUGGGAUAACUUCGGGAAACCGGAGCUAAUACCGGAUAAUAUUUUGAACCGCAUGGUUCAAAAGUGAAAGACGGUCUUGCUGUCACUUAUAGAUGGAUCCGCGCUGCAUUAGCUAGUUGGUAAGGUAACGGCUUACCAAGGCAACGAUGCAUAGCCGACCUGAGAGGGUGAUCGGCCACACUGGAACUGAGACACGGUCCAGACUCCUAAGGGAGGCAGCAGUAGGGAAUCUUCCGCAAAGGGCGAAAGCCUGACGGAGCAACGCCGCGUGAGUGAUGAAGGUCUUCGGAUCGUAAAACUCUGUUAUUAGGGAAGAACAUAUGUGUAAGUAACUGUGCACAUCUUGACGGUACCUAAUCAGAAAGCCACGGCUAACUACGUG
RNAcentral lists this ribosomal RNA (497 nucleotides) under uncultured bacterium. RNAcentral's name for it is "partial 16S ribosomal RNA". It matches the Rfam family "Bacterial small subunit ribosomal RNA", at positions 28 to 507 of the family's 1533-position model. The record is from RNAcentral.